CUUUAAGGUCUCAGAAGCUCAAGUCAGGGCUAGUGGAGCAACCAAUGUCUCUUCCUCUUGCCUAUGGAUUCAGAUGUAGAACACACAGCUGCAUGUCACCAUACUUCCUGUCUUGAUAAUGGACUAAACCUCUGAACUUACUGACCUGAGGAAGAACCGAACCUGGCUUUCUAAGGAUGCUUUUGGAUGUCUUCGAGCAGGGAUGUUGAAUAUGAUUGUUAUUUACAGUGAAUGCAGGUGCCAGUGGCAGCCAGGGGUGUUGGAUCUGCCUGGAGCUGGAGUUGCAAGCAGUUGUGAAUUGCUUGAUGUGGGUGCUGGGAAUCAAACUCUGGUCCUCUGCAAGAGAGUCUUGGAGCUUUCAUCCUGAAGAGCCUGAACAAACAGCCAAUGAUAGGUGUGGAGCUGCUUGGCCUGGACCAGCCAGCCUUGGAUAGAGCAGAUUGUGACAUCCAAGGUGGAUACAUUGCCUAGCCCAUUGUGGAGUAUUCCUGGACGCCUAUCCAUGCCAGAAACACAUAGAAAUACACUCUCCUGAUUACUGUCCGGUUUCGCCACACGCAAAAGCAGCGAGUGCCAAUACGGUGGGGC
This 588-nucleotide long non-coding RNA is filed under the name Cricetulus griseus (Chinese hamster). Its description in RNAcentral is "lncRNA (ENSCGRG00015035572.1)". Lineage: Eukaryota; Metazoa; Chordata; Mammalia; Rodentia; Cricetidae. The record is from RNAcentral.